Molecule: ribosomal RNA, 446 nt
Filed under: uncultured bacterium
Lineage: Bacteria
Description: partial 16S ribosomal RNA
Rfam family: Bacterial small subunit ribosomal RNA
Source: RNAcentral
CCUACGGGGGACAGCAGUCGAGAAUCAUUCACAAUGGGGGAAACCCUGAUGGUGCGACGCCGCGUGGGGGAAUGAAGGUCUUCGGAUUGUAAACCCCUGUCAUGUGGGAGCAAAUUAAAAAGAUAGUACCACAAGAGGAAGAGACGGCUAACUCGGUGCCAGCAGCCGCGGUAAUACAGAGGUCUCAAGCGUUGUUCGGAACCACUGGGCGUAAGGCGUGCGUAGGCUGUUUCGUAAGUCGUGUGUGAAAGGCGCGGGCUCAACCCGCGGACGGCACAUGAUACUGCGAGACUAGAGUAAUGGAGGGGGAACCGGAAUGUACGGUGUAGCAGUGAAAUGCGUAGAUAUCGAGAGGAACACUCGUGGCGAAGGCGGGUUCCUGGACAUUAACUGACGCUGAGGCACGAAGGCCAGGGGAGCGAAAGGGAUUAGAUACCCUUGUAGUC